GUUAAACGUUUUUUGUUAAAAGUUUUAACUUCAUUCAGACAGACAUAUCAAACACACCAUUUACUCCGACGUGGUGUACAGACAGGUUGUUAGGGUGUUAGUCUGCCACUAUGCAGCCUGAACGAGCACAUAAAGCUGUGUGUGGGCAGAGCCUGCUGUCCAUCGCCCUCAGGGUGUAUCUAAACAACAAGAACAGACUGCAGCCCAUCAUCGGUCAGGAACAGCCGUGUGUAUAUGUGUGUGUAUCUGUGUGUUUGUAUGUGUACGUGUGUGUGUGUGUGUGUGUGUGUGUGUGUGUACAAAUCUCCUGUCUUUCUGUUAGGUGCUGGAGUUGGAUGCUGCCAUUUAUGAGGAGAUGACGUUGCACAGUGACAUCGAUGCUCUCAUCCUCUUGCAUGCCAUCAGGACUGGGCGGGAGCAGAGAAAUCUCAAGAGCCAAUCAGAGAAGCCAUCAGUCCAGUCGGAGUAUCUCGCCAUCCGAUCACAGAGAACCAUUAUAUCACCUCAGAGGCUCUACGUCCAACCUGAGAAGCCUGUUGUCCAGAUUGAUAACCGAACUGUCCUAUGGAAGAGUCCGACUGCCCGGAGGAACUCA
This 595-nucleotide long non-coding RNA is filed under the name Salmo salar (Atlantic salmon). Its description in RNAcentral is "lncRNA (ENSSSAG00000091528.1, ENSSSAG00000120496.1)". The record is from RNAcentral. Lineage: Eukaryota; Metazoa; Chordata; Actinopteri; Salmoniformes; Salmonidae.